UGAUCUUUUACAGUACGGUUUGUACCUGUGGAGACGCCUGACCAGAAUUAUUAAAGGUCAACCCAGGAAAGGAUGUUACUGUGGUCACAAUGAAUGGGCGACAUGAUCUCAGCAUGCCUGAGUUGAAUUGUGAGGCAUGCAAAGCCACUUGGACUGCUGGAGUGGACGACCUCAUUCGCAGUGACUACUGGCCUGCUACACUUCACUCUGCUACAGUUUAUGCAACCGAGAUUUUGUUUUCAUUUGAAGAAAUGAAGAUGGUGGCACCAGGAUUGUCCUGCCAGGCAUUUUUGACAAUGUCCGCUUUGGCCGUACUGGGAAGAUCUCUGCAGACAGCUUCCAAAAAAGUUUUUUUGAGUGGGAAGCUGUGCAACAUCUGCAAAGAGGAGCCCUUCAUCUGUCCUGCGUGCACCCCAAAUAUGCUUGCAGUUUCCGUGGAUGGAAAUCGCAAGCAUUACCGGUUCAAGAAUGCAUCUAGAUCCGAGGAACAGGCCAUUUUUCAAGGCGUCUUCAUAGCCAAGGAUGAAGACGUUGCCACAUUUGUGGACCACAUACACAGGACAUCCAAACAUGUCUCUGGAAGAGGUGUUUGUGGAGGGGAGUGGUCAGCAGCUAGAGAGACCUCCCAAAGAUCCACCAGCAAGGUAGAUGAGGAGGGACUGGAGCUUGCGGUGUGUAGGCAUGGUGUUCUGCUGCGUGCUCUCAAUAUGUACAGGGGAGAAAUGUUUGCUUAUCCCCUGUAUUUGCAAGAAAAGCUUGCCAGCAGGCAAAUCACUUUCUUCUGUAUGGAUGUGACCUGCAAGUAUUGGCCCUACCUCCAAAAAGCUCCAGCCCCUCCUCAGCAUGAAGCCGUUCCUGUCUGUAUUUCAUGCCAAAGCUCAUGAUUUCAAAUGCGAGGUCAAAUGGAGUGGGGCAUAUCAGGAAGGGGCUGGCCUAACACUAGGCGAGGAGGUUGAGCAGUGCAAUGCCUUCCUCUCUAGGAUUGCAGUGACCACAAAGCACAUGUCAAAAGCUGGUGAGAUGACCACAUACUGCACUAGUUAGAUGGACGCACAGACAUGCUGACUCUCUUGGCCAUGCGCUGGAAUCAGCAAAAGUUCAACAAUUUGGCCACCUCACUGUCUCACAGAUAUCACAAGACCAUACAAUCUCUACAAAGCAAGCAACAGAAUGUUGAGUCCAUGAAAGCUCAGUUGGCAGUGACAGAGAGCCAUUUGGAAGACUGGGUCAGUGAUGUCAAAGAGUGGGCAGAAGCAACAACAAACACAAGCACAAAUGAUGUGGAUGCCUUGGCCAGUAGAAUCGAGGUGCUGGUGACCAGUAUAAAGAGACGCUCACAGCGUCUUUAUAAAGAUACUGACGGCAACAAAGGUCGUGCCAGGAUCCGCCGCAAAAUCAGGGAGGAGAAGGGGAUCCUGACCUCUGUUGUGGAGAAAUACAACAAAAUAGUUCCAAGCACAGAAAGUCUUUGCAUGGAAACCAUUGUGUCUGGCGAGACAGCUUGGCCAUGGCAGCUACCACACAGUGGUAUGUACACUACUACUUUGAACAAAUCGGACUGAUAAUGACACACAAACACAGAACCAGUACCCUCAAAUGAGGAUCUGUUACCCUACAGGACUUUAGACAUUCUUUGAUAGAGUACAUAUAACUAACUUCAUGAUAUUGUCUAUGUACAGUGCCUUGAGAUAAUGUAUGUUGUGAUUUGGUGCUAUACACUGUAAAAACUAACAUAUAGAAUUUACCCAAUAAA
RNA transcript from Solea solea (common sole), 1753 nucleotides. RefSeq lists it as uncharacterized. Lineage: Eukaryota; Metazoa; Chordata; Actinopteri; Pleuronectiformes; Soleidae. The record is from RefSeq and is a predicted model, not a curated record. The transcript is spliced from 9 exons.